AUCCAGAUGACGAAUCUCAAAUAGGACGAAACGCCUUUCUUGGAU
Molecule: non-coding RNA, 45 nt
Filed under: Schistosoma haematobium
Lineage: Eukaryota; Metazoa; Platyhelminthes; Trematoda; Strigeidida; Schistosomatidae
Source: RNAcentral